UACGGAGGGUGCGAGCGUUAUCCGGAUCUAUUGGGUUUAAGGGGUGCGUAGGCGGGCUGUUAAGCGUGAGGUGAAAGGUCGGGGCUCAACCCCUGAACUGCCUCGCGAACUGGCGGUCUUGAAUGUCCGUGCCGUGGGAGGAAUGUGUGGUGUAGCGGUGAAAUGCAUAGAGAUCAUACAGAACACCGAUUGCGAAGGCAUCUCACGAACGGAUGAUUGACGCUGAGGCACGAAAGCGUGGGGAUCAAAC
RNAcentral lists this ribosomal RNA (250 nucleotides) under uncultured prokaryote. RNAcentral describes it as "partial 16S ribosomal RNA". It matches the Rfam family "Bacterial small subunit ribosomal RNA", at positions 524 to 773 of the family's 1533-position model. The record is from RNAcentral.